This 514-nucleotide ribosomal RNA is filed under the name uncultured marine proteobacterium BY-75. Its description in RNAcentral is "bacterial SSU rRNA". It matches the Rfam family "Bacterial small subunit ribosomal RNA", at positions 355 to 883 of the family's 1533-position model. The record is from RNAcentral. Lineage: Bacteria; Pseudomonadati; Pseudomonadota.
UGGGGAAUAUUGGACAAUGGGCGRAAGCCUGAUCCAGCCACGCCGCGUGUGUGAUGAAGGCCUUCGGGUUGUAAAGCACUGUCGAGGGGGAAGAAGUUCUGACUGUACCCCUCAAGAAAGCACCGGCUAACUCCGUGCCAGCAGCCGCGGUAAUACGGAGGGUGCAAGCGUUGCUCGGAAUCACUGGGCGUAAAGCGCACGCAGGCGGCUUUUCAAGUCGGAUGUGAAAGCCCCGGGCUCAACCCGGGAACUGCAUUCGAAACUGGGAGGCUUGAGUUCGAGAGAGGGUGGUGGAAUUCCUGGUGUAGAGGUGAAAUUCGUUGAUAUCAGGAGGAACAUCGGCGGCGAAGGCGGCCACCUGGCUCGAUACUGACGCUCAUGUGCGAAAGCGUGGGGAGCAAACAGGAUUAGAUACCCUGGUAGUCCACGCCGUAAACGAUGAUUGCUAGGUGUAGGAGGUAUUCACCCCUUCUGUGCCGAAGUUAACGCAUUAAGCAUUCCGCCUGGGGAGUAC